RNAcentral lists this ribosomal RNA (645 nucleotides) under uncultured bacterium. RNAcentral's name for it is "bacterial SSU rRNA". It matches the Rfam family "Bacterial small subunit ribosomal RNA", at positions 94 to 740 of the family's 1533-position model. The record is from RNAcentral.
CACGGCGCACGGGUGAGUAACACGUGGGUAACCUGCCCUUCGGUGGGGAAUAACCCCGCGAAAGCGGGGCUAAUUCCGCAUUACAUUCCGGGAGCUUCGGAAUCCGGACUCAAAGGCCGCAAGGCCGCCGGAGGAGGGGCCCGCGCCCGAUUAGCUAGUUGGCGAGGUAAUGGCUCACCAAGGCUUUGAUCGGUAGCCGGUCUGAGAGGAUGGCCGGCCACACUGGAACUGAGACACGGUCCAGACUCCUACGGGAGGCAGCAGUGGGGAAUCUUGCGCAAUGGGCGAAAGCCUGACGCAGCGACGCCGCGUGGGGGAUGAAGCUUCUCGGAGUGUAAACCCCUUUCGACCCGGAAGAAUGUCCCGCAAGGGAUUGACGGUACGGGUAUAAGAAGCCCCGGCUAACUACGUGCCAGCAGCCGCGGUAAGACGUGGGGGGCCAGCGUUGCUCGGAAUUACUGGGCGUAAAGGGUCCGUAGGCGGUGCGGCAAGUCGGGAGUGAAAUCUCUGGGCUCAACUCAGAGGCUGCUUCCGAAACUGCCGUGCUGGAGUGUGGGAGAGGCGAGUGGAAUUGCAGGUGUAGCGGUGAAAUGCGUAGAUAUCUGCAGGAACACCCGUGGCGAAGGCGGCUCGCUGGACCACAAC